Mandrillus leucophaeus (drill) is the source of this 1303-nucleotide long non-coding RNA. RefSeq lists it as uncharacterized. The record is from RefSeq and is a predicted model, not a curated record. The transcript has 3 exons. NCBI's taxonomy places the organism in Eukaryota, Metazoa, Chordata, Mammalia, Primates, Cercopithecidae.
CUUCACUCUCCACUCCGAGGCUCAGGGAGCAAGUGCCUGGCAUGGGGGGGAAAAGUUGGCUUUUUUUUUUUCCUCCUUGGUCUUUUGCUCCCUUCUCCCUCUCCCCAGAAGGGAAGACCCAUUUAAACUAUUUUAGACGCAAUCAACCAAGAAUCACCAUGUGGAAUUGAGCGGCAGUUUUAAAUGUGCUGAGCAGAGGAGAGGAAUGAUGAGAAAAACACAUUUUUUUUUUUUUUUUUUUUUUUUUGGAGACGCCGAAAGGAGCCUGUUUGUGUGCUGCGGCCGUGCUGUGACUCUGGAUCUUGUCUUUCAGCCGGCGCCUCGGUUCCUGCCCAGCUGGAUUUGGGGGGCAGCAUUUCCUGGCGCAGGGAGAUCAAAUGAGACUGCAAAGAAGCAUAAAUGAAUAGACAAUCCAACCAACCAAAGACCGGGGGCAGCAGCAGGCCAGCAAGACGGCAUCUUCUCCUUCCCAGCCUAGAAGCCCUGUGAAAUCGAGGAUCUUCCCCCUAAAACACAUACACACAAGAUAUGUGCAAUCAAGCUGCCACCGCUUGGUAAAAAGCUCAUGGUGCCUAACCAAAAAGGAUCAGGAGCAGAUCCUUGAAUCAGCUGUCACUUCUAUAGAAUGGGAUGUUUUUUUUUUCCUUCCUCCUUAACCUGCGCUGGAAAUUGCCGUUGGCUUUAUACAUCUCUAUAGAGAGAGGCUAAAGAGUCUUGCGUGAGAAAGAAGCAAUUUACAAUGCAAAUAGAGGCCUGUGAAGGGACGGAUGCUGCUGCUCACUCGUAACAGCUUGCUGCACCUUAAUAGCUGGUUUUAUUUUCUGAUAUUAAUAGAUGAAUUGUUGGCUAACGCUGCCGGAGAUUACUUGCUGAAAGGAAAAAAAAAGUUCGGAAUAAACUCUGAAGGCAACAGAUCUCGUUUGGAUAUUUUAGCCGCGCACACACACAAACAGAAACCAGGUCAUAUUUACAUAAAAGGAGGAAUCUUAAGCGCGGCAAGUAUCCUGGACGACUACUCCUCGGUACUGCCAGAAAGGAUCGGGACCUGGAGUCUGGCAAGAGGAAGACAGAGGCCUGUGUGGGAAGCGAGUUGUUAUCUUUGGUUAUCUAGCUGUAUGAGUGUAUUGGUCUUCAUAAAGCUAGAUAACCGAAAGUAAAAACUCCUUCAAGAUCGCCGGGGAGCGUGUGAGAGUGAAAGACUACAACCGAGAGACAGUAAAAACCAGAAAGGUCAGGAAUACUUAUUGAAUCUAACUUUGUUUUUGUUUUGUUUUUUCCCCUAUGAUUAAAGGUGGGAUGAGAG